RNAcentral lists this ribosomal RNA (800 nucleotides) under uncultured soil bacterium. Its description in RNAcentral is "bacterial SSU rRNA". It matches the Rfam family "Bacterial small subunit ribosomal RNA", at positions 9 to 805 of the family's 1533-position model. The record is from RNAcentral.
GAGUUUGAUCCUGGCUCAGGAUGAAUGAAAGCGGCAGGCCUAAUACAUGCAAGACGAACGGUAAGUGGAGUAGCAAUACUUCGCCUAGAGUGUCGUAAGGGUGCGUAACACGUAUGCAAUCUGCCCGGAACUGGAGGAUAGCUCGCCGAAAGGCGAAUUAACACUCCAUAGGAUGGUAGGGAGGCAUCUCCCCGUCAUUAAAACUACGGUGGUUUCGGAUGAGCAUGCGGAUGAUUAGCUAGUUGGUGAGGUAACGGCUCACCAAGGCGAUGAUCAAUAGGGGAACUGAGAGGUUGAUCCCCCACACUGGCACUGAGAUACGGGCCAGACUCCUACGGGAGGCAGCAGUAGGGAAUAUUGGACAAUGGUUGCAAGACUGAUCCAGCCAUGCCGCGUGCAGGAAGAAGGCUUUCUGAGUUGUAAACUGCUUUUGCCAGGGGAUAAAAAGUCCCUGCGGGGAAAAUUGAAGGUACCUGGUGAAUAAGCCACGGCUAACUACGUGCCAGCAGCCGCGGUAAUACGUAGGUGGCAAGCGUUGUCCGGAUUUAUUGGGUUUAAAGGGUGCGUAGGCGGUCCAGUAAGUCAGUUGUGAAAUACGGCAGCUUAACUGUCGAGGUGCAAUUGAUACUGCAGGACUAGAGUACUGAUGAGGUAAGCGGAAUGGACGGUGUAGCGGUGAAAUGCUUAGAUAUCGUCCAGAACACCGAUAGCGAAGGCAGCUUACUAAGGAGUAACUGACGCUGAGGCACGAAAGUGUGGGGAUCAAACAGGAUUAGAUACCCUGGUAGUCCACACUGUAA